UCACCUUGUUUAAGUUGCACUCGUGUGGUUCCUAAUUCUGACAUUACAAUGUUGUUUUGAAUUGGUUCGACCCCGAAACCGAUUGUGGUUUCUCCAACGACCGAGCUUCUUCGAGGACGACCGAACUCAGAAUCGAGGAUGGGGCACAACUGAAGCGCUAUUUGAUCCCCAAAUCUAGAGUGAAAUCUGAGAGAAGCAAAACGAAAAGCGAAAUCAAAACCAGAGCAAGAAUUGGUGAAUUCCGGUGCUGGAUAGUUGGGGAUUUAAUGAGCAUUUCUAUUGGUGAUGCGGAAUUGAUGGCAAGCCCAGUCAUGUUCUAUGCAGAUUUUCCAGAAAGCAAUAUCAACUUCAAAUGCUUACAAUGAUCAAUUCAGGUAUUCCUCUGAGUAAUUAGAUAUUCUGUUUCAGGUUGAUACAAUGGUUGUUCAAGCCAUUGUGAAGUGUGUUACUUGUUUUCUUGCUAGAUUCUCGCUGCAAAUCUUCAUCUUCUUCAUCUAGCUUCCUCUAGUCCUUGAAGAAUUAAGCUGUACACUUGAGGAGUAGAGAUACUUGCUCUCUUUUUGACUAAUGUUGUUGUGGGUUGAUUGCAUGUGUGUAGAUUUAGUUAUAUUUU
Molecule: long non-coding RNA, 613 nt
Organism: Rosa rugosa (rugosa rose)
Lineage: Eukaryota; Viridiplantae; Streptophyta; Magnoliopsida; Rosales; Rosaceae
Exons: 3
Source: RefSeq, a predicted model, not a curated record